AGCCGCGGUAAUACAUAGGGGGCAAGCGUUAUCCGGAAUUAUUGGGCGUAAAGGGUGAGUAGGCGGUAAGUUAAGUUUAGGGUAUAAGCACAUUGCUCAACGAUGUGAGGCUCUAAAAACUGGCUAACUAGAGUUAGAUAGAGGCAAGUGGAAUUCCAUGUGUAGCGGUAAAAUGCGUAAAUAUAUGGAGGAACACCAGUGGCGAAGGCGGCUUGCUGGGUCUAUACUGACGCUGAGGCACGAAAGCGUGGGGAGCAAACAGGAUUAGAUACCCUGGUAGUCCACGCCGUAAACGAUGAGUACUAAGUGUCGGAAUAAUUCGGUGCUGUAGUUAACGCAAUAAGUACUCCGCCUGAGUAGUACGUGCGCAAGCAUGAAACUCAAAGGAAUUGACGGGACCCCGCACAAGCGGUGGAUCAUGUUGUUUAAUUCGAAGAUACGCGAAGAACCUUACCAGGCCUUGACAUACUCUGCAAAGCUAUAGAGAUAUAGCGGAGGUUAUCAGAUGUACAGGAGGUGCAUGGCC
This 526-nucleotide ribosomal RNA is filed under the name uncultured archaeon. RNAcentral's name for it is "bacterial SSU rRNA". It matches the Rfam family "Bacterial small subunit ribosomal RNA", at positions 513 to 1050 of the family's 1533-position model. The record is from RNAcentral.